Long non-coding RNA from Pectinophora gossypiella (pink bollworm), 298 nucleotides. RefSeq lists it as uncharacterized. Lineage: Eukaryota; Metazoa; Arthropoda; Insecta; Lepidoptera; Gelechiidae. The record is from RefSeq and is a predicted model, not a curated record. The transcript is spliced from 2 exons.
UAUAUAUCAUAAAUAGAUAAAAUAAUUACUACAAAUAUGUUACAAGAAAUAAAGCUUGUAAUUAAAGAAGAGGGGAAGGUAUUAGAAACAGUGAAAAAGGAAACUAGUACACAACCAUGUCAUCUUGUGAAAUCUUUGGAAGAGUUUCAACAGAGUGCCAAUGCUGCACUAACUAAUUUGAUUGAAAAUUUUGGAGAUACAGCUGAAACUAUGGAAGCUGAAGAUGAUGAAGAAAGUGAUGAUGAAGAUGAAGUACCUGUUACCCCCAAGAAAAAAAGAAAAUAAAUUCCCUUUUGUA